CUCACGCAAGCAUUUUAACCCAAAUCCUUUCGAAUAAUAACCUAAUCCAUUACAAAACGAUUUUCCCCAAGUAAGAUCAUCCCUAAAGCCACAUUAACUUCAGAGAUAGCAAAGAUAAAAUAACCCGUCGAUGCACUUAACCGUCCCACAUGCUACGUACCAAAAUAAAAAGUCGAACCAAUCCGGAUAGAUAAAUACAUAAAUCCAUAAUACAACUCACAAGCCAAGUAAUCGAAUUAGGGUUUACACAUUUUCCAGCUUCAAGUGGCAAUCCAAAAAGGAAAAUACAUCAGACCAAAUAACACAUUACAGCCUACAGAAUAAGUAUUAGAGUUCAAAUACAAUCCAAAAGGAAAACAUGAGUAAGCAUCCAGCUUUUAGUUUCCAGAACCUGUUAAGGAAAACAAUAAACGUGGGGUGAGCUAAAGCUCAAUGGUGCCCCAAAACAUGCAAUCACGUAAUAACAAACAGCGGUUAAUAACUUGGCAAAAUUAAACAAUUAAGAAAGAAGAUAACAGCACAAGGUAGGAUACGUGGGCUCUCAGGAGCCAUUUUUCCUCGCUUGAUCACCAUUUAUCGUAGUUGACCCUCCGUCAACUCUCACUACUUAUAAUCCAUGUAGAGCGUCUCAUUUUGAUACCUAACCCGUCACCAUUCAUACCCCUGUCCCGGGCCCGCUCACCGACUAAGGACGCAGUAUACUCGAGAUAUACCCGUAGAUACAAGGAAGCAGUAUACUUGCGUAUACCCUUAGAUAAUUGAGAGGAGUAUACUUAAUAUACCCUCAGGAAAUUGAUCGAGGGUUUCACCCAGCGACAUUUCCGUAGUUGGAUUCAGGAGUCGAGGGAUUCACCCAACGACGCAACUACAUUUUGAUUCGAGGAUUCAGGAGAAAAAUGUUUUUGCACAAGUCACCACUCGAACGGCUAGUGCGAUAAAGUACACACAGCUCACUUCGAUGGAUCGGAAACCAAUUUUUCAACUUAUCACAUAACAAGUCAAGAAAGUACUUUAAGCAGGUAAGCAUAGAACAGGCAGGGACACUCACCAAGAGUGGAGUUCAGAUAUCAAGUUGGGGAUCGAAUUCCGAGUCCUCGAAAAACCCUAAAAACCAAAAUUUGAAACUAUAAGUUUCUACUCAGUUUUUAAGCUUAUAGACAUUGAGGUAUAUCUAAUAUACUACUAGUUCACUUUCCCUUAGAAAAAUCAAGAGUCCCUUAGGUUAAAACUUGACAAAAGUAGAAGAAUUGUUUCCUAGAGUUUUCCUUGAGUUACUUUUCUUAUAAAAGGGUAACUAGUAUUAUUUUCUUGGAAUAAAUCGACAAAUCUCUUAAUAUCAAUGUUAGAAAGUUACUUUGAACAUUUCUCUAAAGUUACGGCUUUUGCAAAAAUUAUCCCUAAAAACUAUUUUUCCUAAAAUAGGGUUUCUUGCCGAGCAAGUUUCCCAGGCUUUGCACUAAAAUAAAUAAAACUCGUACUUGGAAAUUUUUCCUAUAGUUAACUAGCCAAGAGUAAUACUUAAUGAAAAGAAAAGAAAUAAAAUAAGACUUAGGGUUUUCAAAAGCUAUAGAACUUAUUUACUAUAGCUAUCAAGGCUAGUUUGAGCUAAAGGAAAUUAUCGGUUGGAAAGUUUUAGGCAAAACACUAGAUAUUGAGUUUUAUAAUAUAAUACUAGUUGGGAAAUAUUUUUGAUUACUUUGAUCACAGUUACUCGAGUUCGCAAGGUCGAUACAACUUCCACAGCUCCGAUUCCGUUUCGAAAUCAUAUUAUGGAUCAAAAUAUGGCAAAAAUCACAUAGCAAAUUACUAAGGCUUCGUCAAUCAUUAGCCCUAGAUUUCAACAAAUGCAUUUCUGAUAAAAAUAAAAUGAACAACCAAGGUUUCAUCAAUCAUUAGCACUUGGUUUCAGCAAGCCCAUCAUAAGCAAAUAAAAAUAAAAGUAAUGCCUCCAAGACAUUUCGGCAAUUAACUUUCAUCACCCAAUAGUACUUAUAAAGUCAUUCAAAUGGCCAAGGCUUCAUAAAUCAUUAGCCCUUGACAACAUCAAUUACUUCCAACCACAAUUUAAUCCAGAAUUUAAACCACAAGUAGCCUACAAGAUCAAACCAAAUCAAAAUUUAGUUUCACGAAGAACAGGACAUUCAUACCAAACCAGUCUACUUCCAAGAUUCACAGACAGCAGUACACAUGGAUGAAAAAUACGAAAUUUCUACAGGACAAAGGCCUAUGACUCUAGUUUCAAUGCCACUGACGGCGCCUUAAACGGAUUUUUCUACACAAAGAUAUAAGCAUUUUACUGAGACUGGUCAGGGACAUCCGAAAAUCUGAAAUUUCAAUUUUUCACUUGUGAAAACUCCUUUUUCUCUUUUAACACUAAAAUGUUUUUAUUCAAACCAUCCAUACACUUCUUAUAGAACUUCAAAACAACAUAUUCCAAGCAUUUCCAUCCAUCAUGAUUCAAGGAAACAUUUAAAAAUCAAGCUAAGAUUCCAACUCAACCUUUGACUAUCACAUAAGAAAUUCCAGCAACUAAUAUACUUUAGAUCCAGUUUUUCCCUUGGUUUAAACAGGGUGUUAGGUACUCAAAUUCAGCAUUUAAACACUUAGCUAGCUAUUAAAAAUUUCCACUUCAAAACCAAAUUCAUUUAGUAACUAAAAUCAUCCAGAAAAAUCCAGAAAUAGUUUAAAAUCCAAAAGAAAACAAACUGAAAAUUUCUGAUCAAACCUCUCGGCUAUUCCAGAAUUUUUCCAGCACUUGGGUGUUUAUAAAUCCAAUUUUCCUCAGCUAAAACAUGGUUUUAGAUACCCAAAUUAGUCAUGCAAAAACUUAUCUAGCUAAUUAAUAUUUCCAAUUCAAAAUUUAACUUAAACAACAGCUGCAAAUCCCCAAAACUUCCAGAAAUUUUGUACAGCUAGCUUCGGACAAACAUGCAUGCAACAGAUUGCAUUUCUAUUUUAUUUUUCUGGUUUAAACUAACUAAUUAGCUGCAUGCAGAGCCUAAUUAACUUGUUAUUAACCAUCUAAUCAUGGUUAUAAGUUUAAACAACAACAUCAACAACAACAACAACAAAAUCGAACCAAGUUAGGCUGCAAUAAUCCAGCUAAGCUCUCGGUAGUUUCUAUACUAGCACAUAUCAGAAAUUCUUUUCUUAAAAAUCUCAUCCGGAUGCCUAACCCCCACAUGCAAGUUCUUAGAUGACUUAACCUUAUUGUUAUUAGUUGGUUAAACACCAAAUUGAGCUCAGAUUAUCGCAGGAAGUCAGAAAUAAAAUUACAAAUUCAAACCAGUUCCUCGGCAGAAAUUUUCUUAACCAAACCAGAAAUUUUCUCUGCUUUAACACAUCAUCCGAAUGCACAAUUCAACAUGCAUGGUCUAAAUCUUCAAGUCUUCACUCAGUUAAAGGCACUUAGGUGUUCAGAUGCCACAGAAAAACACAAAUGGAGUUGCAUUAUCUCCUCAAAUUCUCGGUAGCAACAUUUUGACAAAACAGAAUUUUUUCUAAUGGUUGGAUUUCAACAUCCGACUGCAUAAUCUGAACAUGCAAGCUCAGAUGUAGCUUGCUCAACUAAUAAUCAUCCUACUUAGACCAGAAAUUACCUCAGAUAGCAGCUAAUCCUUCACACGAAAUAUUCCAGAAAUUUCUUCCCUAGCUCUCGGCCAAGUGCAGUCGGUGGAUCCUGGCUCCUAAGUUGCGGCUGGAAUUGGUUGUGGCUGGUGGAUUUGAGGUCGGUUGGUUGGAGUUGGUGGGGAUGAAGGUGCAAAAUGGUGAAGCUUCCUGCAAAUCUCCUCCCUGGCUUCACUCCAACUCACGGCAGGACCAGAAAAUUUCUGGCAGCUCACGCUCGCUCCUCCUAGCUCUCGGAUGUAGCUCACCAAGCAGCCCUCUCUCUCGGAUGCUCUCGGUCAAGGCAGAGGAAGAGGUAUGGUGUGGUUGUGGAGAGAGAUUGCAGUGGUUUCGGUGGAGUGUGCAGAGAAGGAAAUUGAGACUCGGUGAUGGUGGUGUCUCGGUAUCAAGAGAGAAAGCGGUUUGUGGUUUACUUGUGCAGAGAAGAAAGGAAGUUGCGGUUUGUGUUUGUGAUAUGAAAUGUGAAUUAGAGUGAAUGGUUUUGUGGGUUUAGCCGUGAGAUAGAAAGGAUGGUUUGGUGGUGCCGUUGUUUAAGAAAUAGAGGUUUCGUGUAAGAAUCGAUUUCGUAUAACAAUUGGUUGCGUAUCGAAUUGGUAAUAGCAAAUGUGAUUUGAUUUGCGGUCAGACGUCUUGUUUGGUUUGCAUGGAAAGGUAAGGUAAGGGUAUUUUAGUCUUUUCACUUUGCUCCCCAAUCUCCACUUAAUUUCUCAAUUCCAACUUAAUUCUAAAAAUUAUCCCCAAGUGCGAUUUGAACGCCUAAUUAUACCCUAAUAAACCUAAACCAUUUUUUUUAUCGAAUAAUUAUCGCUUAAACUUGAAUAUUAAGGUUCCUAGUAAUUCUUAUAUUAUUUAGCGAUUAAAUUAAUUAUUAGAAUUUCCAAUUAUUAUUUCUCAAGGAAUAGAGUUAGACUAACUCGAAAUUUAUCGAUUUAGUAAUAUACAGUCGAGUGAAAUAAUAAUUUAAUCCAAGGGUGUCAAUUUGCACAUAAAAAUUAUUUUUACGCACUUAUUUGAAAAUAAAGAGAGAUAAGGGUAUAUUUAUUGAAUUUUCACGCAUUAAGUAUGUUUAGUAUAUUAGAAUCAUAUUUAUCUAAAAUUCAUUGGUUUUUAUCUUAACGCGGAAAUUUUUUAUUAACAUUUACCAUUAGGAACUAAUUGGAAUUAAUCAUAGGGCUUUAAAUAAUUUAUUUUAAGAUAGUAAAUCUAACGAUUCAAUUAUCAUUAAUUUAGCAUAAAGGAAUUAAGUAUUCUAACAUUUUAUUUUAAGGCGAAAAAUUAUUCCAACCCUAAAGAUAUUAAUUUAGUCAAAUAAAAUCAAGAAAUUUCAUAACUUUGGAAAAUUAUAUUAUUUUUCACGUAAACCUAUUUUUACGUACUUAAUUGUGAACAAUUAAAAGUAAUGCUAGAAGUUAUUAAACAAUAAAAGAAAUGCAAAUGAAAUAUGCACUAGCUUAUAUAUAUCCAUUUUCAGGGUUCUCACACCAAUGAGGUCAAGAAUCAACAAAAGGGAGAAUUGAUUUAAAUUAUAUAUCAAUUUAGCAUACUAUCACAGAUCAGCAUGUGCCAACAACAUCUAAGCACCAACAAUCAAAAAUCACUAUUUUGUUACUUGAAAUGUCAAAAUAUACUGUGGUAAAUGAAAAAAGCUUGCUCAUAACUUUUCUUAAUCAAGACAUUGUUGGAUAAAAAAAAAAUAAGUGGAAUGAUUUUACACUACUAGUGUAAUUGUUGCAUUCUUGUGCAAAGACUUAAAUAGUUGUAUCAAAAUUUUUGUUGUAUUCCUUAACGGUAAUUGAUAUCUAGUUCGUUAUUAAUGUCACUAUGUAGUACAAAUUCUCCUUUGAGACCGACUGUUGAGGCCAAUUAGCAUUUGAUAUCGGUUGCGACCUGCAUUGACGUGCCCAAAUAACUCAAGCUAUUUUGCCAAAAAAAAAAAAAAGAAACUAAAAUUUUUAAUCAACGAGUUUUUUUUUUUUUGAGACAAUCAACGAGUUAAAUCAAGUUGCAUUGGCCGUUGCUCGAACCCUAAUUGUUUUUUGCAGUCAAUUGAACUCUGAAAAAACGAUAUCGUCAUCUUGAAGGACAUAUUUUUGUCAAGCCGGCUGGUUUCUGAUAUUAUUAUUGGUUAAGUUUGGGAAAUCCUCUAUCUUUUCUUUGUUUUGUAGAAUUUAAUAGAUAAAUACAGAUUAUAUAACAGACCGAGUGUCAUGCCUCGUGUGACAAUGACAACGUUGUAAAACAUAUAUAAAAUAAUAGUAAGAAGAGUAGAAAUACCUAAAAUAGUUGUAAAAGUGUUUAAAAUGUAAGAAGAGUAGAAAUACCUAUAAUAUAGAGAUAAAGAGAUAAGAUAAUGAUAGAUUUGAGAGUUCUAGUAGUCAAGAGUCAAUAAUUCUGGAGUAUUGAUUGACAGAUAGUACAUGUAAGAUGUUACCAAUAAUUUGUUAUUAAGCAUUUUGAACCCGUUACUUUUCACUAAAAAUAUUACUUGGUCAGCAGCUUAACAUCCGGGUUAUUACAAGUUAAUUUUGUCUUGAAGCUUCCUUUUCUAACAUACAAUAACAUUGCAUAGGCUCUGCCUUUCUUUGUCUAAUAUAUUUCUUACCACGUCAAUCAACUUUUACUAGUUGCUUAAAAUAAAUAAAAAUUCAUGUGAAACGAUAGAAUCUUCAAAUUUUUGGGUGCACGUUAAAAGGAAAACAUCUUCCUUUUGUUGAAACUUCCAUUUUUUGUAUUGGCUGGUACCAAAGGGACAAUUUAUGAGCCACUACAUCUAAUGGCCCUAUUGAUAUACAUUUUUUAUUGUCAUGAAGAUAAAAAGGCACAAUAAUAUUGUAAGUGAAACAAAAUCUUCAACUAAUUCUUUCAGUUGUCUAUUCUCAGGCGAUCCAGUGGGCUUUUGCCGUCAAGUUUGGAGCUUGGAAUCAGUCCGAAAAACUCCAGCAAUCCUAUUGUCUUGUAUUGUGUUCCAUUUUCUUUGACAAGCUCUGGUAGAGGACCGAUUUUUGCUGUCAAAUUUGCAUUAUGAAAUGCAGCAAUUGACAGCCUUUGUUUCUGGAAAUCCACAACAGCUCUAUGCUCUAUGCUUCUAUAUUCCCCAUUACUCAUUAUCUGCAUUCCACCAAAAAUAAAAGCAGCAUGAACUGAUAAGCAAGUUAUAGAUGUUCUUCAGAAGCACUCUUUAACUUUUUUUUUUCCAGUUGUUCUGUCUUUAUCUAUUCAUUUACUGAGUUAUUAUCUUUUUGUGGUUAGGUACCUCCAUCAUAUCACCAAUGUUGACUAUAAUUGCUCCAGGAAUGGGUUUAAUAGGCACCCAUGUAUUGCUUUUCUUGAUUUGCAGGCCUUGAACAUCAUUGACUUGAACUAAUAAGGUCAGUCCUGUACCAUCAGAGUGGGGAGAGGCACCGAAAACUUUGUCUGCUUGUCUGCAGGGUGGAUAGUAAUUCAUUCUUAUUCCUUGUAUGCCGUCCUGAUAAAUGCUGCAUAGUUUGCCUGGCUCCAGCCCAAGAUUCGCCUCGAUAAGUUUGAAGAGGCUCAUGCAAACCUUGUGAAUUUGAAGUGAGUAUUCAUCCAAGGUUGAUCUGAUAUCAUCAGAAAAUUGCAGUUAGCAUUGUGAUGAAAGUUUUGCAUACAAUUUUUUGGCUUUUUGUCACUUCAAAAGUGCUUUGUGGCUUUCUAAUGGAAGCAAAAGAUGCUUCAUAGUAAAGAAAAAAGAGUCUUCUGUUUUAUAUUGUGGGGGUAUUUUGAUGAAGAAUACAAAUAUUAAAAAAGUGAAUUAUUUGAGUUUUUACGUUACAUAAAUGGGUAACGGCUAUAACGGUCAUAAUAUGAAUGUGAAUUUAACCAUUACACAGUUAAAAUAAAUCAUUAUGUUUUGUAACUGAAAUUUGUAUGAUGUCUAAUUUAAUUUACCUAUUUAUAACUCUUAUUUUCCAAACCUAUAAAUAGAAGUUCUAGCAAUAGAUUACUUGCUUCUAUCGUAUAUAUAAUUUUUUAAGUCUAUCCCCUAUAAAGGGAUUCUUUUAAUAUUUUUUUACUACCACAAAUAUAAUACAUAAAUGUGUUACUAGAGUAUUAUAUGGGGCAAAGUACAGGACAGGUAGGUUUCUAUGUUAUUCUAUUGGCAUAAAUAAGAGUGGAUUAUAGUGGAAAAAACUGUACUGCUGUAUUCUGGAGGCUACCUACUGAAACUUAUUACACCGGAAGAUACUUUGUAGAAGUAUUAGAUCUUAAAGAGAGUUACCUAAUACAUGCCUCAACCCAUACCAAACAAACAUUAUUGGUACAAAUUAUUUGCAUUUUUUUAUACAAUAUUGAAGUACGAGAAUUUUUGUUAAUUUCCUUGUUGAAUUUAAUUGGAGAAAUUAUUGUUACUUAUAUGAUUAUUUUAGCCCAAAACCAACAUAAUUGUGCACACAUAGAGGAUAAAUUCCCAUGAAUUAUGGGAGACUAUCAAAGCAGAAAGGACCUUGACAAACAGACUAGCCAUCAAGAUUGAUUAGGCUAUUGAAGAGGCUGAUUAUAGAGCAGUAACUUGUUUUUCUUUUCGGUAGCGGGGAUGGGGUUGAGUUUAAAAAACAAGGAGGGGGAAGAGGAGAGUGCAACCCAUGACCUCUAAUUCUUUGAUAUUCAAUCUUAAUCACAAGGCCAAGGUCUCCACGGCCGAUAAUAGAGUAAGAUAAGUUUUCUGCAAUAGUGGGAGAAAAUUGUGAUAAUGUGUAUUAUUAAUGGUUUACCUAAAAGAUGUUGGAGAAUUAGGCCAGAAUCUCAUGUUUCUUUGAGAAACUGACAAUGGAAAGAGGAAAAGCAUGUCCCCCCAGUCCAGCUUUUGUUCCUCUGAUACAACAAAUGUUUGACCAUAGCCUUCAAUAUGGUUUGGUACUUGUGCACAGGCCAUUUUCUGCUCUAAUGGCAGCUUGAAGAAAUCCUCUGUCACCACCUUCAUUUUCUUGAUUACCAUUGAGGCGCCAUGGUUGACUAACUGUUGCAGGAUUAGUCAUGGAUCGAUAAUUAAUUUGCAAGGGGAAUUAAUCUCAAUAUCUAAGUAUUGCAAGUUAUUCUAAACGAGGAAAACUUUCAUACAAGGAAAUUGUGCCUGGCAAAAGUCUGUGAUUAACUUAACUGAUAAGGUAGUAUACAGAAUUUUCUUGAAUUUACCUGAAAGAAACCAAACUCUUUACAAGCCUGAUGAAGUUUUGCCAUCUCAUUUUGGUAUUCUGAAUGACUAGUUGCAAGAUUCUCCAUAUCAAUCACUGGAACCUGUGUAGACUCAUCGGUUGAAAUUUCAUCAAGGAUCAGUUCAGGCUGAAUAUAUCGAUGUGGGAUUUCUUUGGAGCAAUUAGAAGCUAGUUCUUGCACAUUCUCCACAGGGAGAGAACCAAGGUCAGGUCCAUUUUUGGCUACCUCAGUUCCCAUUGAUCAAUAAUGUCCCAGAUGUCAAUCACGACUCCCCUAGUGCUUUUGUUGUUUGUUCGAUCUUUGCCUUAAUUCUAUACUUCUAUUUUGGACUCUAAACUAUGCCUCCUUUCCGAUUCUUAUACUUGAAAUCGUCUCAUUUUAGCAAGUAAAAAACUAUUAUGCGUGCGUCUUUCUGUACCCAAUUCAAUGUCCCAUGACUUUUUAAUGUUGGAAACCUCAUGAUUCUCUAUUACCUGCUCGAUGAUGUAUCAGAUACCAAUCCAACCUCUUGUGAUACUUACUAUGCUAUUUUUUUUUUUUUUUUUUUGUUUUGGCCGAUACUGUGAGAGUGACUAAAAGGACAAUUUAUAAGCCACUAACAACCUCUGACUCUUUGAACAUGCAACCAAUUUAAGACCAAAAUGGAGAAAGUUUAUUGGUUGAAAUUCCAUUAAUCAUUAUUCAGGUCGGAUGAAAAUUGAGAAAAGAACACAUUACCUCACAACAAUCUUUACAAGCCUAUGAAGUUUUGCUUUGCAAGCUUUGCCAUGCUAAUCAUUGGAAUUUCUGAAGACUAGUCGAUUGACAUUUUAUCAAGCAUUAGGCUGGAUAUUUGAAUUUUAUUUUCAUCAAACUUUAACCAAAUUCUUCAAAGAGACGUAAGAAUUAACAUAUUGUCAUGUGAUUUCAUUUCUAGUUUUCGUAUCCAAACCAAUUGAAGAAUUACCCUCAGCAGCAUAUGACAUAAUUAAUUAGUUCAUUAGUCCAAUAAUUCAGCAUACACGGCCAUUUUACAAUUCAUAGUCAUCCCCUUUCACUUAUUAAGUGGACUACCAAGAAUAGUUGAUAGAGUCCAAUACCAAUUAUCCAUGAACAUUGCGGUACUUAAUUUUUUUAAUACAAAAAUCAAAUAACAAUGAUGAGGUGGACAGCAAAAAUAACAAAUGCAUUUAACAAAAUUUUCUAAAUAUAAGGUAAUAUUAAGAUAGUUAAUAUUACCCAUGUCCAGCUAUUCAUAAACAGGUAUGAAUAAAUUUAACUAAAUAAGUUUGUUUGCCACCUAUAGUUAUUGGAUUUACCAGAGUUUUGAAGCUAUGAUUAUUAGAUUCCACCUACUGGUUAUUAUUAUAUAUUUGAUCACAAUAGGAAAUGACGUUUGCACCCUUUGCUCUUGAUAUAAAUAACAGAAAAAGUCAAUAUUACCUAAAAUGCAUAUCAAACUGUAAACUUGAAAUGAAUAUCUUUAUGGAUUAAUUUUUCUUAUACUGACAGUGUAUACACUGUCAACGUUGGAUGAAUGACAACAAUGCAAAAUUUGAAUUUAAAAUUCAACUUUUGCACACAUGUCAUGAAUCAAACGGUGAUAAUGUAUACACUGUCGGUGUAUAUAAGAUUUACUCUAUCUUUAUUCGGAGAAGUUCAGUUCAUUGUUCUAAUGUUUGGCUCAAAUUCAAAUUUUGCAUUGUUGUCAUGAAUCAAACGGUGAUAAUGUAUACACUGUCAGUGUAUAUAAGAUUUACUCUAUCUUUAUUCGGAGAAGUUCAGUUCAUUGUUCUAAUGUUUGGCUCAUGUGCCAAAGUGGUUUUAAUGUUUUGAUCAAAAUAAAUUUGGUCACCAAAAUUUCUCCUUUUUUCAAAUUUAGGACAAUAGAUAAUAAUUCAAUAAUUCUCAUGGUCAAAAUCAAUUUAGCUUAGCCAAUAGUUUUGACUUUGCAUUUUUGUCCCCACUAUUUAGAGCAUAGUUAUUAAACCCGACCCGGCCCGACAGUUCAAUCGGUCAAUCCAGUGAACCGGUCAUGAAACCAGGCUGGGUUGUUAAUUGGAUCGUUUGUACAAGAAACCCGUUGACUUGUCAACGAACCAGCGGUUCAACCGGUCAACUCGGUUGAACAGGACGGUUUUGUAAGAACCCGGUUGUUGUGUUAAAAAUUUUUAGAAGAUGUUGCAAUGGAGAAUCGAACCUCGGCCACAAGAAUGAAGCGCGCUCAACACUGAACCAACAAAGUCAUUUGGUGCUUGUUUUGCCCUUCUACAUUAUAUAUUAGACCUUUAUUCUUAUUUUAUUUCUUCAAAACAAAAUUUUUUUAGAAUCUUUUAAUAAAAUUUUAUUAUUCCCCAAAUUCUAUAAGUUAUGAAUAGAUUUAAAAAAUAGCAUAUUACACAAUUCAUUUUAAAGACAAAUAUUAUUCUUAAUAACUUUUUGCACUUAAAAUUCGUAAAUAAACUAGAUAACUAUACUUAGAUAAAAUUUUAUACUUGAAAUUUGGUGGAUUACUAAUUAAAUUUAGAUUUUGUUAAUUCGUAUAAGAAUUUGGUGGACUAACUGAGUAUAUACUAUGACAUAGUUUAUUAUAAUUUCAACCAUAUUAAUAAUUAUGAAUUAUAAUAUUUAAGUAUAUUUAGUGACCCACUGGUUGGACUACUCACCCACUGGUUGAACCAGUAACCUGUUGACCCACUUCUUUUACCGGGUUCCUCACCGGGCCAGGUUUACUAACUAUGAUUUAGAGUUUGAAUUAUUAUAGUUUCUUAAGUUUUAAGUAUGGAUUAAUUUUUCCUACACUGACGGUGUAUACACUAUCAUCAUUGGAUUCAUGACAACUAUGUAAAAGAUGAAUUAGAUCCAAGUUAUUUUAGACGUGUGUUACGAAUUCUAAUCAAACUUCUUUUUCAUUUUCUUUAUUUUAUUUGUUUAUGCUACUAUUUCUCAUGUCUUUCUUCUCUUUUGGAUUUAUAAUUGGUCUCAAAUUGGGCAUACUUCAUUUGCUUAUCAUUUUGCACUAUGAAUAAUUAAUUGAUCAUGACUUUUCCCCUUUCUUUCACUUAUAUUAAUUGUUAAACACCCAAUUAAAUAUCUCUUUAAAUUUUGAGCAAAAUAUACUGUAUGUAAUAAUCUAACAUAUAUUUUCUUUCUUUCUUUCUGUUUACAUUUUAAUAGAUUAUCAAUUAAGUUUGAAAUGAAAUAUUUAUUGUAUAAAAUUAUUUAGAAUAUGCAAUAAAUUUACUCACUUACAUGAAUGUCAUAAUAAUUAAUCACUUAUCAUUGGAAAUUAGGUUCUAAUAUGAAGGGGAGACACAAAAGAAAAACUAAAUUCCUUCAAAUGAUUCUAAAUUCACAUCCCCUUAGUCUAAAUCCACACCCCUAGAUUAGAUGACAAUAAAGCCCAUAAGAGUUCAGUAGAAACUUUUUUCAAUGCAAAAACUUGUCUUUUAUGCAACAAGAAAUGUUUAAAAAAUUAAUUACAAAUUUUAAUUAAUUAAAAUUAUUUGAUACCAUCAUCUAAAUUAUUGAUCCGCUAGUUUUUUCUAAAAUUAUACUUUAUUUGUCAACUUUGAAGUGCAAUAUCCCAAAGGUAAAAAUAUUUUCUUAACACAAUUUUUUUAAAAAAAAUUCUCUUCUAUCCUCUUACAUGAUAAAAAGAGAUAAAAACAUUCUCACCACCAAAUAAGAGGAAAAAAAUAAAUGCCAUCAAAGUGAACGAAAAAAAUGUCAGAAAUUUUAGGACCAUUCAUAAGGAUGUAAAUUUUAAAUUCAAAUUAACACCAUCUCUUUUCAUCAUAAAAUAAUUUUUUAUUGAAAAAUUUCUCCCAAGCCUCAUAAAUGCUAUGGGUUUUGUUGGUGAAUUUGGUUAUAAGAGUGUGGAUUUAGAUUUAGAAGUUGCGGAUUUAGCCCUACCUAAUUCUUUUUUCAAAAUUCAUAAAAGCAUCUAAUAUUCAUACUUAACCUUCACUAGCUAUUUUAAUCAUAAUUUUUAACUAAAAUAAUUUCAAACAUAUGUUUAGAAGUAUUGCAAUAAUUUAUGCAAUUAUAGUUCAAAUAAAGUUAUGUAUUAGAAGUAUAACUAGUUGUACAGCUCGCAGAAGUGCGAGGCAUGCCCAAAAUUAUAACCACAGUGAAAUAAUCUACAACAGCUCAAUAUAACUUUAUCACGAACCUACAACAGCUCAAUAUGGCACUGUUCUUCUAAAUAGUCUAAUCGAAAAUGAACUCCUACCCUGAUGGCUUAUGCUACUCAAUCAUGAUGCAUAUCUCAUACCAAUGUUGUCAUUUGAAGCAGAAGGCCAUCCAAAUAUAUUCCAAUGGAAACAUUUUUACAGUUUGAUAAGGAGAUAUAGAUUAGUUUGUCAAGUCUUCUUUGGCUUGCAACUAUUGAUUUUUUCUAUAGGCAAAAAUAAACUAUUUUAUUGAUAUGCAAUCCUGCUGUACAAGAAGGAAAAAAAACUCCUCCUACAUCUAAGAUGCUUUAGUGAUCAACACUAUACACAAAUUUGUCUCUCUAUAGCUAUUACUGCAACUAUUACAUUAGACACUCCAUAGACAACCCCCAUUCAAUCAUCAGCUGCCAUUCUCUUGAGUUUGUGGAGCUUUAGGCUACGAAACAACCACCAUUUGGACCACUCUAGUGAUAGCUGUAAGGACUUAUCUAGUACUUGUAGGUACAUGUUGAAAAAUCCUUCUAUUCCUCUCCUACCAAAGACAUCAAACAGUGACAGCUAGAGAUAGCCUUCUAAUCUUAGUAGCAAAGGAGUAUGAACUACCAUAGUGACACCACCAAUCUACUUCUUGUUCUCAGGGUAAGCAUCCCCUAUGUAGCAAGCACAAUCUUUGCACUUUAUCCCACAUGCACCUGGAGAAGGAACACUUGAAAAAUAGAUGUCUAACAAAUUCAACCCCUUGAUCACGUAACACACAUCUAGAAAGUAUAUUAGUCACACCCCACUUGAUAAGUCUAUCUUUAGUUAUCAACGUUUGCUGUAACAUCAACUACAGAAUAAAUGCAUACUUGGGAACAAAACCUUUUUCCCAAACCAAGGAAUGCCAUAUCACUUUACUAUCUGCCUGAUAAAGUUUCUUCAAAGCAGAUUUAAUAGAAUAGACACCUGAACCACAUGCGGUCCACUUCAUAAGAUCCUCUCUAUUCAUUUGCUGCAACAUAGAAUUAGGAGUUGACUCUUGAAAGUCCUGAACUCUUGCAUUCAACUUCCUUCCUUUAGGCUAGGACCACCUUCCAUCCUUUACCGAAUCACUUACUUUAGAGGUAACAAACAACCCGAAAUUCUUCUAUAAAGAUUCAAGAUAUCUUAAAUACAAAGGCCCAAGUGCAUGUCAAUUGUCAAACUAGAAAAAAUUGCUCUUACCAUCACCAAUACUUAUUUUAAUUCAUGGCUGAGCAAGAUGGCUAAAUUGUAACUUUCUCCAACACCAUGAACAACCAAUAGUAGUUUUUACUUCCCAUAGACUAUGUCCUUUCAACAUCAUAGAAUAUAGCCAUCUAACCCAUAAAGUAUCUUUUUUUUUUACUUAGAUUUCAUCUGCGCUUAAAGUUUAAACACUUGUUCCAAUUGGCUAUGUUUUGCACUCCUAGUCCACCAUUCUUCUCUAGUUUGUAGACAUCUUUCCACUUUACUUUUGCUGCAUAGUGUGAUUUAAUUUCACCAGACUAUAGAAAUAAGGGUAACAUGCUAUCAAGCCUUUUGAGUAUUGCUUUAGGUAGUAUAAAAACACUAGUCCAAUAAGGCAAAUACCACUAAGAAUAGAUAAGAUUAGCUGCAACCAACCUCUAUAGGUAAGAUGUUUUCCUGUCUAACUUUGUAUCUUGUGCUGAAUCUUUAUAAAAACAGGUUGGCAAUGCUUGUAGUUGAGUUUUGUUGAAAUAAGAGGUAGACAUAAGUAUUUAACUGGUAGUUCAUCACUUGGCAUCUCCAAUAUGUUACACAGCUAUUGUCCCACUUCAUCACUCACACUAGCUACAGAUACACUACUCUUACGAAGAUUAGGCAUCAAACCAGAUAAACUUCCAAAUUCGACAACAGUGUCCUUGACCAUAAAAAAAGAAUGCUCAGUAGCUAUAGAUUUUAAAAACAAAUUAUCUGCAAAUGCAAUAUGGGAAAAUUACAAAUCCAAGAAUUGAGGAUGAAAAUCAAAUCCUCUCUCAGCAAUGCACAACUUCAGUAAUCCAAAAAAUACUUCCAUAGUAAUUAGGAAUAAGUAUGAGGAGAUAGGGUUUCCUUGCCUCAAUCCUCUUUCACUAUGAAAGAAACCAACCAAAGCCCCAUUCAUAUUAUUGAUAGAAAAUUGUGCAGUAGUAACACACUUACUAUCCAAUGCACAAACUUUUAAGGACAACCCAUAGACAGCAUGGCACUCAACUGUGUCAUAGGCCUUCAUUAAAUCAACUUUCACCACUGCCCUUGGAUUUCCCCCCUUUCUAUGAUAUCCCCUUACAAGUUCAUGCAUCAGAAGAAUGCUAUCAGGAAUCUAUUUGCAUUUUAUGUUAUACAAAUUACACCUGGUAGCACUUGUUUCAACCGAGCGGCUAAUACAGCAGAUAGGCAUUUAUACAAGGUGUUGUAGCAGGAAAUAGGCAUAAAGUCUUUCAUAAAAGCAACAUCCUUGAUCUUUGGUAUUAUAGUGACAGAAGUACUAUUUAGAGGAAAAUACAUAUAAUUCUGGUCAAAACAAUAUUUCGAUGCAUCAAUGACAUCUUGCCCUAAAAUCUCCCAACCACCUCUAAAAAAUUCCACAGUAAACCCAUCAAGACUAAGAGCCUUACAAUUCUUCAUCUCAAAAAUAGCCUUCUUAAUUUCAACUUCAAUUACUAGAGCCUGUAACAUCAAUUUGUGCUCUUCAUAGAUAGAUGGUAGAAGUACUUUGUUCAGUCUUCAGCUUUUUCUAAAGUAAAGGAUUCAACCUUACUAAAUAGCAUUUGAUAAUACUGCAUAGCAAUUUCCUUGACUUUCUCAUAGUCGUCCACACUUUCUCCUAAAUCUGUACACAAGGACACAAUCCUAUUCUUAGCCAUAUGGCCUUGACCUUUUCUGUGAAAGAAAGUUGUAUUUCGAUCUCCUAUAUUCAACCAUUGAACUCUUGAUUUGUCUUAGAAGAAUUGCUUUUUUGCAAGUACCAAUGCAACAUACUUCCUUCCAAAUUCAAAUCAGAGUUCAGAGGGUCAGUCUGCAAAGCAAUUUACAUAUAGUCCAAUUGUAACUUUUUCUUUGUAACUCUUAGCACUGAUAGAACUAUAGUACUCCUUGUUCAAUGCUUUUAGGGCCAUCUUCAUAUAUGUUAACUUUUUACAUGCUUUCUUAAUAGGAUUUCCCUGAAUCUGGUAAACCAUUGCUCCUCCUGAAUACUGCUAUACUGAUCAUGCUUCAACCAAAAACUAAGAAAUUUGAAACAUUUAGCUCCAAAGUUCACAUCAAUGCAGGAAUGAUUCGAUACGCUGAGAUGUAAAAGUUCAACUUCCACAACUGGAACAGAAGAAAACCACUAAUCAUUUACCAACAACUUAUCAGUCUUAUUAUAAAUCCUCACCCCAUUAUCUCUAAGAUUGCACUAGGUGUAAUACACUUUUUUACUAGGAAAUUCUACAACAACCAACGCUUCAAUGUAAUUAUCAAAUCAUUUAUUGUAUUAAAAUCAUAAUCAGAACUACCAUGCCUUUGCUCUAUAUGUCUAAUAGUAUUAAAAUCUCCCGUAAUAAUCCAACGAUUCUCUCCAAUUUGUUGUUUAACUUCUAGCAAAUGCUGCCAUAAAGGCUUUCUAUUCUCUAGUUUGUUCAUACCAUACACCAUGGUUAUUACAAAAGGAUCCAUAUACUUUAUAGUUUGAACCAAACAAGAAAUAGCCUGUUGAUACAAUACAAGGGGCUAACAAUGCACAUUCAUCUCAUUCCAGCAAAAUAACACUCUAGCAAUAAUUGCAGUAGUAACAUUACAAAUGUAUCUCUAUCCAGGAAACCAAGUAUUCAGAACACUAUCUAUGUUCUGCAUUUUCACUUUAUUUUCAACUACUCCUAUAAUAUCUAUAUGCAAAUCAGACACCAACUUUCUUAUAACUAAUUGUUUAAUAGGUCUAUUAAGACCUCUUAUGUUCUAGUAGACAAUUUUCAUAAUAAUUGAAGGAUAUUCUUCCCUUUACCUCGUGCCUCUGUUUUGCACUCUAGUAGUUUUAGGUAUCUCACUAGUUUGCACCUCCAUUGUAGUUGUUAGGGAUGAGAAUCUAUUCUCAAUGGGUAGAUCAAUCACAAUGCUACUAUUAAUAGGUAGAGUUAUGCACUAAUAAUUAGUAGAAAUUAUUUCACAAUCAUUCUUGCACUACUGAGACAUAGGUUUUCAACAAACUAUUGGAUUUAGCAUUAUCAACCAUAACACCAUCAGAGUCCUCUACAUCCUCUAUCACCUGCAUCACUUCAUCGACAACAAAUUGUUAAACCUCAUAUUGCACUUGUUCUAGUUGGGUAGGCAAUUUUUCUUGCUAAACUUUGGGAAUCCAUUUAUUAACCACCCAAGAGUGACAUGGACAUUUAUUUGAAGUAUGCCCAAAACACUUAACAGUGGGCACAACUGGCUAGGAUCCAUUCAUACUUGAUAGAAUGUAUAUUGGUUAAUGAAAUUGCUAAUAUUUUUUUGUUACUUUGGCCAAAUAUUGCAUUAUUGGAUUGAUUAUACCCAUAUUUGGCAAUUGAUGUUGAUUGUAGGAAUUUGGAAUAAAAAAGUGUGAAAAAGGAUUAAAUGAAAAGAUAUUUUCGGCAGAAGACUCUUAGCUUGUUCCACAUGGGUGUGCCUGAGUCAGGUACCCAAGUCCGAAGAAGCGGGAUUCCAGCUGACAAAGAAGUUGCCUAUUCCAAUUCAACUUCUAAUUGUAUCUUGGCAAAAAGGUGCAGACGUUAGUCCUUAUUAAUAGGUAUCGGUGGUUAGUUAGGAAAUAGAUACUCUUUUCCUAUAAGGAGUAGGAUUUUAAUUUUCCUUUUUAACAAUUGAUGAGUAGCAACAAAGUAGGAGAAGAGAGACAUCUUUUGUUUCGGGGAAAAUUGGCUAUUAGUCUUGGCACCAAAGAAACAACGAGCCUUUCUUCUUUUUUCUUUUGUUUUCUAAUUGACGAAUGGUGUUUGCAACUUUUAUCAAGGAAUUUGCAUGGAUUUUUCCCAAUGAAGAGCAACUAAUUUUCUUAUUCUAAUCAAGGAUAAUAAAGGAUUUGGUUCAAUUACAACUGUGAGAUCUAAUUGUUUUUAUCUAUUCUUUUAUUCGUUACUAUUUGUAAAUUUUCUGAUUUAAUUUCUCAUGGUUGCUUUGUUAUUUAAUUUGAAUAUCGAGGGCCCUAUAUUUAAUUCAACCUAACAAUCUAUUGCCAGUUAAGACAGUUAAAUUUGUAAUUGUUAAAUUGUGUUAAAUUAGUGAUAACUAGCAUGAUUGGUUUCAUGUUAGAGAAACAUAUGAUCUAAUUUAAAUAAACCCUCGUAGUGUGUUUAUUGAUUAGAACAGGGCUUUUCUAGUUUUUAAUGCAACUAAGAAAUUAAAUCCUACAGGCAUACCUAGGGUUAUUUCUUGAUUAGAGAAAUAGUUAACGGGCAUACCUUAACUAUCGACACGGUAAGAAAAAGUUGAUUAGCAUCACCUGUUUGGCAAUUAUAACCUGUUUGUUAAUGAAUAUAUAAAAUAAUUAUUGCAUCAAUAAACAAUUGUAUGAACCACUUCUGAAGUUUCUCCUUGGCUAGAACUUGCUUAUUAUUGAUUUAAUUUUAACUCUCUUCUAUUUGGUUGUUUUUAUUUAUGGUGAUUAUUUAUUUUAAUUUUCCAAAGCCCCAUUUAAUUCUCACUUGGAAGAAAACAAAUUUUCCCUAAUCCCUAUGGAGAUGACCCUACUUAUCAUUAUAUUCAAUUAUAUAUUUUCAUGAGUAGAAAUUUAUUAUUGAAUAAUUUCGACACCUAUCAAUACUCAACUAGCUUAUUAUCUUCCUCGCCGAAUUCAUUAACAAAUAGAAUGAUAGAAGGCCUCAAAGCAUUAAUAUCUCAUUCUACAUAUGCAUGAGCACAUGCAACCCUUGUUUGUGAUGUAGUGAACUGAUUUGUAUACAAUGGCCUAGCCACAAAACUAGCUAGUUUGCUAAGGGAACCAGAGAAGUAAUAAUGCAACUUCAAACCAGGGAAUCUAAUCCAAACAGGGAUAAUUUAGGAAUCAUCCUUUUGCAUAUCAACUUCUGGACUCCUAGUACUAAGUUCAAAUUUUUAUAUUCUAUUUGUUCAAUUAUUAAAUAGUAUGUGAUUUUGUGAUAUAGAGCAUGGAUGGGAAAAAAAUUGGUAAUCAGACUUAUUGAGAAUUAUAAGUAAAUAUUUAAAACUAAUGAUCGGUGCCAAGGAUGGUAUAAAUUAAUAAUUUAGUUUGCAAAAAUUAAUUUAAAUGAUUUUACAAAAAGUUAAAAUAAAUGGGUUACAAAUAGGUAAUUGGGUUACCCAACUCAUUUUUUAACUUACCCAUUUAUAUCCACCAAAUUAAAUGGGUAUAAAUGAGUUGAUUCACUUAUACCCAUUACCCAUUUCAACCCGUCUAAAUCACCCAUUUUGACACCUCUACUUAUGAUGAAUUUGCUCCAACACUAAAGGCAAUCUUCUACAGGAUGUAAUAAAACUAUUCUCUUGAUUUCUCAAAACAAAGUGUAAAAACCGUACUUCAAUUCUGAUUGAAUCCUCAUUAUAGAUGUUAAAAGAGGUGUUUGAAGAGUUAUUUUUAUGUUUUAGAUAGUGGAUAAUAAUGGUUACAAGUACCCGACUUGGAAUGACAGAACAUUUGAGUCCAAACGGAUCAUAAUGUCUAGAGAGCUACGCCUACGUUAAAUCUUGACACAGUUCGGACUUCAAAACAUUUAGUUUGGGCCACGAACAUCCACUUUGACAGAUUUGCAUAGUUUUUGCAAACAACUCAAUAAACCCCCACUAAUUUGCAAAAUUUAUGCAUCUUAACCCAUGGAGUCUUCAAUGGUACAACUUUAACCGAAGAAUAUUAAGCAUAAUUAGAAGUAUAUCUUGAUCUAAACUUCCAACGGGUGUAGGUGACUUAAAUUUUGAAUGGAGUUAGAUGUGAGCGUUCUUAAAUUAAACUAUAACUCUUAUAUGUCAAAAACCAAAACACAACACAAUUAACGAUUGUCUUCUUUUUUGAAGAGGUUAAUAUGAACUUUAAUUAGAACUAUUUUAGCCACAUGCUAAUCCUAAUUUCACAAUCAUCUACAAAAGCAUACUCAAGCUCUUGUUGAGAUGACAUCACUUCAAUAUUUAUAUAGGUGAAAUUGUACUUGUAGAGUUCUAUGUUUAUGUCCUUCAAAAACAACAGCAGUCCCACUCAUGGGAGUACUUGUAAUAUCGUGGUUGGCAGUUAUGAUUGUGAACUAAAAUGCUGCACCAAUUUUGCUCAAAAAGUCACUAUUUAGGUUCCCAAACAGCAACAGGAUGCUAUCCACUAAAUCUGAGGUAUGAUAGGUAAAAACUACCGUCUUUUUAAGACAGAAUCAUCAUCAAGCUGGGUUGAGAAUAUACCACAACCAAAGCAUGAUAAUCUAAAAAUUGCCGAUUAAACCUCCAUUCCAUUCUCAAUAUGCUCAGAAGGGGAGGAUUUUGAUAGAUUUUAAAUUGUAAAAACACAUUAAGGUUUUAUUUGUCUCCAUCAUGAAUAUGGUGUGCUUUUGAGUUCCGACAAAUUACAUUCAAGAUAUAAAAAUAAAAUCUAAAAAAAAUUAGACAACAAAAUUUAUGUUUUCUUAUCUGUAGAUCAACAAAUGCAGAAGUUAAUAAUCCUUGGGUUUUUUUUUUUAAGCAAGACCCGCGCUACGGGUAGGGAUGCCAGCCCCAAAUUUUAUUAAGAACCAGCAACAUUAUAACAAGUUCGAAUACACAAACCGUUAAAUCCCCCGAUCACUGAGAGACUACCCUUUGUCCACUUGCCUGCGUACAUAGCAAAACUCUCGACUAUCAAGGCUUAGAGCUGCACGAAUCCUUCCAGGAAGCUGAUCUUGCGAGGUACAAAACAACUCGGUUGGAAGCCUCAGCUUAGAUAGCAUAUCAGCAAUGGAAUAAUCCUUGGGUUAAUAAUCCUUGUAGAAUAUUUUUUAUUAAAUAGUUAUGCCAUUCUAUUUAAUCAUUUUCAAGAGUUGAGCUAAAAAAAAAAUUUUAUUACUGUAAUGGUCAUGAAUUUUUUGUAUUUAAUUACAAUUUUCUAACUUCAAAAAUUGUUUGCAUGAUUAUAUCGGUUGUACAAAUUAGUUCAUGGUUGAGAAAUCAAUUUUUUUUGUCUUAUAGUAUGAAAACCAGAAUUGUCUACAACUUUUGAUGGUUAAUAACUGGUUAAUGGUUUCUCGAUUAAAAAUGUUUGUUCAUGAUGCAAAAUAUCUAUUGCAUGCUUACAUUGCAUUGGAACUGAUAUAAGGGUUCACUUUUUGGAUGGUAGAUGAGACUAUCUCAAGAUCGUGUUAAGAAUAAAAAAUGGUACCACGUGUAAAAAUUCCUAUCAGAGAUUUGGGAUUGCAAAAAUGACUUAAAAUUUGUAUCGAACCACAAAAUUCUCUAUCAAAGAUUUGGGAUUGCAACAUGACCAAAUAAAUACGCACAUAACUGUAAUUCCAUCCACCAGAAGUGCACAAAACCACUCCUGAUGUCCAUCUUACUUACGCAUAGGAUCAAACAUCAAAUUGCUUGGCAAAUCUCUUGUAUAGUUCCAAAUCCUUGUGAAAGAAUGGCCUCAUAGCCAAGCCAGACACCAAUAUUAUUGACUAGGAACGUAUGUCAAGCAAAUUUCUUUAUGAUUUACAAAGUCGAAGGUAUCGAACCAGUGAGGCUGUUUCUGCCCAAGUCCAAAUGAGACAGAUAUUCCAAAGAAAACAAUGACCUUGGAAUGCUUCCAAUGAAGUUACUGCUCUUCAAACUGAUGUAUGUUGUGCUUCGGUAAUUCAUCCAACAAUCAGGAAUUUCUGCUGAUAGAAUUCUUUUUAAGAUCCAGAACUAUAAGACCUAGUUUUCUAUUCUUCACUUCACAAAAAAAGUGAGAAAUAUCUCCUGAAAACAAAUAGUUCGAAAGGUCUAAUUGUAUGAGACAAUGAGAAAUUAAUUGUGCUAGUGGGCUACUGAAUCUGUUUGACUAUAGUACAUAUAUAAUCUUUUAAUAAUUUCAAAGAAAUUUGAACUCUUACUAUGAAGUUGAUUAUGAGAAAGAGAUAUGACUCCUGUUGCUGAGUUGAAUAACCAAGGAGGGAUAGUAUUUGAAAUUCCUGUGGAGGUCAAGUUCAAAUACUGAAGGUUUUUUUUUUUUUUUUUUUUUUGCAAUUGGAGCUAGGAAAUUGAAGGCCAAGAUUCCAAGAACCUAAUCCAAGUCUUCCAAAUUGGACAGGAGGAUUCCAACUUGCACUUGCUUUUAAGGUCAAGGAGUUUCUAAAUGCAUCAAAAUACUUUAAACUUGUCAAAUUGUCAAGUAAAAUCCCACUCACCAGGAAGCCGCAAAGGAGAGCCAGGAUACCUAUUUCAUAAAGGUACCCCUACGAUCACAGGAGGGUGAGGGUGGAGGGUCUUUCCCCUCCUGUGACUAGUCAAGACCAUGAUAACUCCUCGGGUGGCCACCCAUUAGGGAAUUAUGGGGAAGUACCCUCUUCGAUAAUUACGACUGGAGCUGGCCCAAAAAAAAAAUUCCCAUGACGGGUUCAUGUUCUCAUCAAAUAUUGUGGAGCCCAAAAAGAUGCAGAACUCAUUCUGAUCAGCUAGUGUUCAGCCCAAUCUGCGCAGGGUGGCUUGAAUAGCAUUAUCGCAACAGCCUAUCAGUUUAUUAUUAAAUUGAUUUUGACCAUAAGAAUUACUUAAUUAUUGUCUACUGUCCUCAAUUUGAAAAAAGGAGAAAUUUUUGGGACCAUAUUUAUUUUGAUCAAAACAUUUAGGACCACUUUGGCACAUGAGCCAAACACUAGAAUAAUGAACUGAACUUCUCCCAGUAAAGAUAUCCAUUUCAAGCUAAAAUUUUGAUAUGCAUUUUAGGUAGGCCUGUCAAUCGGGCCUAAUGAGCCUGACUUUGAUGAGUUCAAACUCAACUCAUUUAAUUUGAAACAUUUUCGGGAUUCGGGUUAUGAGUUUCGGAUUCAUAAAUGUGAAGUUCAUACUCAACUUACAUAAUAUUCGGGUUGUGAACCUUAAUCGGGCUUAGCCCAAGCUCACUUAUUACUCCUUAAUUUUCUUAAUAUAAUUACUAUAACUAUUAAGUUGUAAAACUAAUUUAAUAUUUACAAGACUAUAAUAUUAACACUAAACAUGAACAAAUAAUAGUUCUUAAAAAGUAUAUAAACCAAAAAAUUUUUCAACAAUAUUUAUAUUUAAUCCGUUCAAAAUGCAUGAAAAAUAGUAAUAAAACAUGCGAUCAUAAGCCAUACAUCUUUAAAAGUUGAAACUUUUUUUAUAAUCUUGUGAUUUAAAUCCAAAUAUGUUUGAUGAUUUUUGUGUUUGUAGACCAAAAAAAAAAUCAACCAAUAUUAUGCCAGUACAAAAAUUUACUCAACCAAUAAGAAAAAUUAAAGAUUUAGUUAUGCAUUACUAAUAUUGGCUAUCAAGAAAGCUCAUGAAAGAGUCAUUAAAUGUAUUUUUGUGUUUUGUAAUUUAUAUAUAUAUUUAGUAUUUAGUAAUAAUAUAUUUCGAUAUAUAAUUAUACAUAAUAUCAAAAUAUAAAUAUUAUAUAUAUAGGUAACUAAAGGGCCGGGCCUAUAUCGGAUUUGAGCCUAAUAAAGCCCAAGCUCGGCUCACAUUUUAAUUCGGGCCUAAUUUUUAGGCUCAAGCUCAGACCAGCUCACUAAAUGAUCGGGCUCAUCGGGCUUUCUGUCGGGCCAAAUGAGCAGAGUUCGGGCUAGCCCAACCCUAUUGACAGUCCUAAUUUUAGGUAAUAUUGAUAUUUUCUUUCAUUUAUAUCAAGAGGAGAGGGUGCAAACGUCAUUUCCUAUUGUGAUCAAAUAUAUAAUAAUAACCAUUAGGUGGAAUUUAAUAAUCAUAGCUUCAAAACACUUAACUAUAGGUGGCAAACGAAUUCAUUUAGUCAAAUUUAUCCAUACUCGCCCAUGAAUAGUUGGAUAUGGGUAUCUUAAGUUUUUACAUAUGGGUAUAAAUAAAUUAUCCAAUAAUAUCCAUUUAAUAAAUGGGUAUAAUUGGGUAACUUACCAAACUCAAUUAACCAAUUUAGAAUUGUCUUCUCCAAACGUCCUCUCUUCCCCCGCCCAUUUAGAAGAAAUUUGAGGCUUGUGUUUGAUUAUUGAACUCAUUGUUGGAGACUUUUAUGCAUUAAUAUUGCUCAAACCUUGUAUAUAAUGGAAUGUUUUAUUUUUCAAGCUUAACAAAUAUUUGAUCCAUUUUUGACGCAGAUAGAUAUCCUAUUUAUUUUUUUCAGAUUCUUGAUUUUGUCAUGAUGUUAACUACUUUUGUUGCAUUUAUUAUUAUUAUUUGUCGGUUUUAUCUUAUCAUUUUAUUUUCUUAGAGCUUGUUAACUUGUUCAUUUUUCAACAUUACCAAUUUAUGACAAGUUUGAACCUCCUUUCCUACCUUUUCAAAAUGAAAAUUUAAAUUUACAGUCGAAAAAAAUGUUAGGGGUUCAAGGUUUUUGGAUUAAGUUUUUAUGUUAACUUUCAUAGUAUUUAGUUCAAAUUUUUAUAUUCUUAUUGUUCAAUUAUUAAAUAAUAUGUAAUUUUGGGACAUAAGGCACGGAUGGGAAAAUUUGAUAAUUAUGCUUAUUGAACAUUAUAAAUAAAUAUUUAAAACUAAUGGUAGUGCAAAGGGUAGUAUAAAUUGAUAAUUUAAUUUGCAAAAAUGAAUUUAAAUGAGUUUACAAAAAGUUAAAAUAAAUGGGUUAUAAAUGGAUAAUUGGGUUAUCCAACUCUUUUUUUAACUUGUCCAUUUAUGCUCAUCUAAUUAAAUGGGUAUAAAUGAGUUGACUCAUUUAUACCUAUUAUUCAUUUCAAUUUGUCCAAACCGUCCAAAUCACCCAUUUUGAUACUCUGUACUUUAGUGAUAGCAUUCUUUGCUUAGGAAGUGUGUCAAUAAUGUAUGACUGAGUCAAAUCAAUACUUUCAAUUUUGUAUUAGUAGAGGUCAUUACCAUUUGAUAAAAAAUGCAAUGAUGCAUGACUAAGUCAAAUCAAUACUUUGUCAAAUUUUCGCAUGUUAAAAUUGUCAAAUCAAUACUGUUAUAGUGCUGAUCAUGACUAUGGCUAUUAUUAAAUUUGCACAUUCCACACGUACAGAAUUCAAAUCAGAUACUUUCAAUAUGAAGCAUGCUGUCUUUGACGCCUUGAUCCUUUCUAUACGGUAUUCAAUUAGCCAUUAAUGUGAUUAGGGAAGGAAUAUAGGCAUCAUUGAUUCUAUUGUAGAGCCUAACAUAAAUUAAGUGAUUCACCUUUGCAUCAUAAAUUCUAAUUUGCAAAUAAAUCACUACAUAAACUUGAAAACAAUAACAAAAUUAAUCGGGCCCUCAUUUUAGGGUUUCAAUAAUGAAUUUACUUAUUUCCAAUAACCACCAAAAGUAAUUGACAAAGUAAGAAAAUAUUAUCCAGAAAAUGCAGAUGCAUACCAUUUAUUUUGUAUAUGAAGCUUUUUUGAAAUUGCAAGACUGAAAAAAGCUAGUAAAAGAGUAUUUUGUUAAUUUCUUAUAUAUAUAUAUUCAUCUCUAUGCAUAGGAUGUUAUGGCAUAGGUUUCAAAACACAUAUCAUGAUUACAUGUGCUCUCAAAAUUCAGUAUUAUCAUUCAUAACUACGUUUUAUUUAGAAGUCGCUUGAGUUUACUUUCUUCAUUAAUCAAGCCAAAAAUGAAUAAAUCUCAUUCUAAUUAAAUUCCAAUCUACAUUACUGAAUUCUACUUAAAAGUCUAUACCUAUUAGAAAGAAACCUCAAAUCUGAACUAAGAAACAAGACUGCAGGCGUGAAUGUAAUAUAGCAGAAGUGACUUAUUCUUUCCAAGCCUGAUGUUGAAUGCCAAGUCAAAGUCUCUAGAGGCUUUAAUAGUUUGAGUAGCACUGCCAGCUCUAUAUAUCUACUUGCAACAUAUGCAAAAUGCAGUGUAUUUCUUCCAACAUUCAUAUGAUUAUGGGUGGAUUAAGGCUUUUCUCUGAGUUCUUACUCAUCGCAGCAAUUUUACUUUGUUUUCCCAGCAUAAAUACUGAUGCAACCUGCAUCACAAGUGAGAAACAAGCUCUUUUAGACUUCAAGAAAAGUUUGAUAGAUCCUUCUGGUCGGCUUUCAUCUUGGAACGACAAUGUUGAUUGCUGCCAAUGGCAAGCAGUUAUUUGCAGCAACAAAAGUGGCCAUGUGAUUCAACUUCGCCUUCAAAAUCCUGUUGACGAUCUUGAAUUGGCAAUAAGUGGUAAUAUUAAUCACUCUUUGCUCAAUUUGACACAAUUGCGCCACCUUGAUUUGAGUCUAAAUGAUUUCAGCGGACUUCAGAUUCCAACAUUUUUAGGGUCUCUCAAAAGUUUAAGGUAUCUAAAUUUAUCUCAAGCUAGAUUUCAAGGAAUGGUUCCCUAUCAGCUUGGAAACCUCUCAAGUUUACGCACUUUUAGUGUCGUUGGAGAAUUUUGGUCUUCUCUCCAUUCUGACAACCUGCAAUGGUUGGCUGGCCUCUCAAAUCUGAAGCACUUAGAGCUGAGUCACGUGGACCUUAGUCCAGCUUCUAAUUGGCUACAGGUGAUUAACAUGAUCCCUUCUUUGGUAGAGAUACGCUUGUCCUCUUGUCACUUGUUUCAAAUUUCUCAACUCAUCCACAGCAACUUUUCUUCUCUUACUGUCUUAGAUCUUUCUGGAAAUGAUUUCAGACAUUUCAUACCUAGAUGGAUUUUUUAUCUUCCUUCCCUUGCUUCUCUUGAUUUAAGUAAGAACUUGUUUCUGGGCCCAUUGCCCAGAGGUCCUUGGAACAUGACAUCUCUCAACUGCUUGGAUCUUUCUUCAAACCAUUUGGACGGUUCACUGCCGGAUGAGCUUAUUCAUCGUAACAAUCUCAUCUCUCUCAACCUUCAAGGAAAUCAAUUUGAAGGUUCCUUGGAUGGAAUUCAGAAUUGGAGUUCCCUUGUAUCUUUGAAUCUAUCAGAUAAUCACUUCACUACCAUUCUCCCAAACGUAUUAUUCACUUUAAGUUCCCUAGUUUCACUUGAUCUUCGCUCCAAUCAGUUUCAAGGUUAUAUCCCAGGCUCUAUUGCCAACAUUUCCAACCUUCAAAAUCUUGAUCUAUCUCAUAACAAUCUUAGCUCCUCUUUGCCAAGUGAACUAUUCACAUUGAAGGACUUGGUUACAGUCGAUGCAGGUGGUAAUCACUUGAGUGGACCAAUUCCGAG
RNAcentral lists this long non-coding RNA (27129 nucleotides) under Coffea arabica (coffee). RNAcentral describes it as "long non-coding RNA (CARA_LNC003680)". Lineage: Eukaryota; Viridiplantae; Streptophyta; Magnoliopsida; Gentianales; Rubiaceae. The record is from RNAcentral.